UGGGGAAUAUUGCACAAUGGAGGGAACUCUGAUGCAGCAACGCCGCGUGCGGGAUGACGGCCUUCGGGUUGUAAACCGCUUUCAGCCAUGACGAAGCUUUUGUGACGGUAGUGGUAGAAGAAGCACCGGCUAACUACGUGCCAGCAGCCGCGGUGAUACGUAGGGUGCGAGCGUUGUCCGGAAUUAUUGGGCGUAAAGAGCUUGUAGGCGGUUUGUCGCGUCGAUAGUGUAAACACGCAGCUUAACUGUGUGCCUGCUGUCGAUACGGGGUGACUAGAGGGGGGUAGGGGGGAAUGGAAUUCCCGGUGGGGCGGUGGAAUGCGCAGAUAUCGGGAGGAACACCAGUGGCGAAGGCGGUUCUCUGGACCUUUCCUGACGCUGAGAAGCGAAAGCGUGGGUAGCAAACAGG
This 409-nucleotide ribosomal RNA is filed under the name Fusobacteriota bacterium. RNAcentral's name for it is "Fusobacteria bacterium partial 16S ribosomal RNA". It matches the Rfam family "Bacterial small subunit ribosomal RNA", at positions 355 to 776 of the family's 1533-position model. The record is from RNAcentral. Lineage: Bacteria; Fusobacteriati; Fusobacteriota.